GAUGAACGCUGGCGGCGUGCCUAAUACAUGCAAGUCGAGCGAACGGACGAGACGCUUGCUUUUCUGAUGUUAGCGGCGGACGGGUGAGUAACACGUGGAUAACCUACCUAUAAGACUGGGAUAACUUCGGGAAACCGGAGCUAAUACCGGCUAAUAUUUUGAACCGCAUGGUUCAAAAGUGAAAGACGGUCUUGCUGUCACUUAUAGAUGGAUCCGCGCUGCAUUAGCUAGUUGGUAAGGUAACGGCUUACCAAGGCAACGAUGCAUAGCCGACCUGAGAGGGUGAGCGGCCACACUGGAACUGAGACACGGUCCAGACUCCUACGGGAGGCAGCAGUAGGGAAUCUUCCGCAAUGGGCGAAAGCCUGACGGAGCAACGCCGCGUGAGUGAUGAAGGUCUUCGGAUCGUAAAACUCUGUUAUUAGGGAAGAACAUAGGUGUAAGAAACUGUGCACAUCUUGACGGUACCUAAACAGAAAGCCACGGCUAACUACGUG
This 497-nucleotide ribosomal RNA is filed under the name uncultured bacterium. Its description in RNAcentral is "partial 16S ribosomal RNA". It matches the Rfam family "Bacterial small subunit ribosomal RNA", at positions 28 to 507 of the family's 1533-position model. The record is from RNAcentral.